UAGAGUUUGAUCCUGGCUCAGAAUGAACGUUGGCGGCGUGCCUAACACAUGCAAGUCGAGCGAGAAAGUUCCUUCGGGAAUGAGUACAGCGGCGGACGGGUGAGUAACACGUAAGAAUCUGCCCUAUAGUGAGGAAUACCCUUGAGAAAUUGAGGUUAAUACUGCAUAAGUCCCUUCGGGGAGAAAGACGUCUUUUAUGUCGUCGCUAUAGGAUGAGCUUGCAGACUAUCAGCUUGUUGGUGAGGUAAAGGCUCACCAAGGCUAUGACGGUUAACCGGCCUGAGAGGGUGUACGGUCACAUAGGCACUGAGAUACGGGCCUGACUCCUACGGGAGGCAGCAGUGGGGAAUAUUGCGCAAUGGGCGAAAGCCUGACGCAGCGACGCCGCGUGGAGGAUGAAGGUCUUCGGAUUGUAAACUCCUGUCAGAUG
This 430-nucleotide ribosomal RNA is filed under the name uncultured Actinomycetes bacterium. RNAcentral's name for it is "bacterial SSU rRNA". It matches the Rfam family "Bacterial small subunit ribosomal RNA", at positions 1 to 442 of the family's 1533-position model. Lineage: Bacteria; Bacillati; Actinomycetota; Actinomycetes. The record is from RNAcentral.